RNAcentral lists this ribosomal RNA (329 nucleotides) under uncultured Butyrivibrio sp. RNAcentral's name for it is "bacterial SSU rRNA". It matches the Rfam family "Bacterial small subunit ribosomal RNA", at positions 28 to 339 of the family's 1533-position model. Lineage: Bacteria; Bacillati; Bacillota; Clostridia; Lachnospirales; Lachnospiraceae. The record is from RNAcentral.
GAUGAACGCUGGCGGCGUGCCUAACACAUGCAAGUCGAACGAGACUGAGAUGACUGAGUCUUCGGACAAAGGAAUUGACUGUCGAGUGGCGGACGGGUGAGUAACGCGUGGAUAACCUGCCUCAUACAGGGGGAUAACAGAGGGAAACUUCUGCUAAUACCGCAUAAGCGCACAGUAACGCAUGUUACAGUGUGAAAAACUCCGGUGGUAUGAGAUGGAUCCGCGUCCGAUUAGCCAGUUGGCGGGGUAACGGCCCACCAAAGCGACGAUCGGUAGCCGGCCUGAGAGGGCGGACGGCCACAUUGGGACUGAGACACGGCCCAGACUCC